UGAUAAUAAUUUAAGGUUUAAUCUGCUCAAUGAAUUUUUAAAUUGCUGCAGUAUUUUAACUGUACAAAGGUAGCAUAAUAAUUAGUUUUUUUAUUGAAAUCUGGAAUGAAUGAUUGGACGAGAAAAUUUCUGUCUCUUAAUAAUUUUUUUUUGAAUUUAACUUUUGAGUAAAAAGGCUCAAAUUUGUUUAAAAGACGAGAAGACCCUAUAGAGUUUAACUUAGUUUGGUUGGGGUGACCUUAAGAUAAAUUAAACUCUUAAAAAAAUGAUCAUUAAUUUUUGAAUAAAAAAUUUAUUUAAAUAGAUUUAAAAUAAAUUACCUUAGGGAUAACAGCGUUAUUUUAUUUUAGAGUUCUUAUUGAAAAUAAAGUUUGCGACCUCGAUGUUGGAUUAAAAUUAAUUUUAGGUGUAGAAGCUUAAAUUAUUAAGUCUGUUC
RNAcentral lists this ribosomal RNA (436 nucleotides) under Lamprohiza splendidula. RNAcentral describes it as "partial 16S ribosomal RNA". It matches the Rfam family "Bacterial large subunit ribosomal RNA", at positions 1837 to 2582 of the family's 2925-position model. The record is from RNAcentral. Lineage: Eukaryota; Metazoa; Arthropoda; Insecta; Coleoptera; Lampyridae.